This 1445-nucleotide long non-coding RNA is filed under the name Mus musculus (house mouse). RNAcentral's name for it is "long non-coding RNA chr12:82284443-82285888". The record is from RNAcentral. Lineage: Eukaryota; Metazoa; Chordata; Mammalia; Rodentia; Muridae.
ACCCCAUCCUCAGUGUCUAAGUGCUGAAGUGAUGGAUGGAGAUGAGAAGAUUGACAUAGGAGGCCUUGUGUCUUCUUACAAACAUUAAGUUCUCUCCUGGCAAGUAGUGCUGUUCUCUCAGAACUGUACAGUAGAUUUGAAGGCAAAGCUGCUUCAGAGGCAGUGCCAAGGUCUUACAACGGCAGGAAGCACUGGCUCCAGGCUGCUUUGCAUGUGUUGGCAUUGGUGUUAGGUGGUUACACGAUACAGGCUACCACAGUGUCACUUUACAUUCUAAAGUGGAGAGAACAAAAAGUAGACUCUGAGCAGCCCUUCCCUAUAAGCCUUCUCUCCUAAGAUACGUGAGUUUCACCAGCCAGGUCUUACUGUUUGUUGACUCAUGCAUGCAGCUUCAAGGAAAGCCCCGCAGGGCCUUAUAAAGCCAGGUGCCUUGCUUCCUGUACACUAGCUGUUAGCUCAUUUGGCAGCAGAAGGAAGGAGGAGAGUGGGUAUUGGGUAAACAGUGGAUCUCAGUUCCUCUCACUUGUACACUCAACAUUUAGUGAGUGUGCAAGUGACUGUGCGAGUGAGUAAGUGAACACACUGGUCAUGGAGAGUCCAGGCAUUUGGUGCCGAUGCUGUGUUAUGGUAAAGGGGCAAAGGUUUGCUUUUGGUUUUGCAUUGCUGGGGAUCAGACUGUAAGUGCUCCACUAGGUAGCUACAUUGUCCCCCUUGGCCUGUGAGCCAGGGCUCCACUAGGUAGCUACAUUGUCCCCCUUGGCCUGUGAGCCAGGGCUCCACUAGGUAGCUACAUUGUCACCCUUGACCUGUGAGACAGACAGGGUUUUGCUUUGACUUGAAUCCAAGCUCCUCCUGCCUCAGCCUCUCAGUGCUGGGAUUACAUCUGUGUGCCACCACCACACCUGGCAAACUGUCAGUUUUUAGUCUUAAAAUCAGGUUGCUCUCUCUUGACUACCUGGAAAAUCACCUUAGCGUAUCUUUAAGUCCAUGCAGUAAGGCAGACUUGCAGGAUAAAAGACAAGGGGCUUUUUUAACGUGCUCAUGACUGGACUAAUCAAAUUUACUUAAAUAGUUUUGUUGAAUUACUGUUAUUUCAACUUCUAGGAUCACUGUAUAAUUUAUCUUCUGUAUUUAUGGGCUUUUCUCAGAGGUGUGUGUGUGUGUGUGUGUGUGAGUGUGUGUGAUUUUUUUUUUCUCAGAGGUGUGUGUGUGAUUUUUUUUUUCCAUUUUUAAUCUUUGUUCUGUGGUGAUUUUCCUGACAGGUAUGUUAAAGUCUGUAUAAUUGUACUAUUGGAAAACCAUGUUGAGAACCAAGAGCUAGAUGAGAUAGUUGGUACAAGUGUGUAAUCCUUGCAUGUGCUGGAUAAAGCAGGAGUAUGGUGACUACUCAGCCAGCCUAGGCUACACAAGGAGAGUCAAUCUUUUGUGUCUCUUCAAAUAAUUAA